RNAcentral lists this ribosomal RNA (500 nucleotides) under uncultured bacterium. Its description in RNAcentral is "partial 16S ribosomal RNA". It matches the Rfam family "Bacterial small subunit ribosomal RNA", at positions 30 to 523 of the family's 1533-position model. The record is from RNAcentral.
AUUGAACGCUGGCGGAAUGCUUUACACAUGCAAGUCGAACGGCAGCACGGACUUCGGUCUGGUGGCGAGUGGCGAACGGGUGAGUAAUGUAUCGGAACGUGCCCAGUCGUGGGGGCUAACGUAGUGAAAAUUACGCUAAUACCGCAUACGAUCUAUGGAUGAAAGCGGGGGAUCGCAAGACCUCGCGCGAUUGGAGCGGCCGAAAUCAGAUUAGGUAGUUGGUGGGGUAAAGGCCCACCAAGCCAACGAUGUGUAGCUGGUCUGAGAGGACGACCAGCCACCCUGGAACUGAGACACGGUCCAGACUCCUACGGGAGGCAGCAGUGGGGAAUUUUGGACAAUGGGCGAAAGCCUGAUCCAGCCAUUCCGCGUGCAGGAUGAAGGCCCUCGGGUUGUAAACUGCUUUUGUACAGAACGAAAAGGUUUCUACUAAUACUAGGAGCUCAUGACGGUACUGUAAGAAUAAGCACCGGCUAACUACGUGCCAGCCGCCGCGGUAA